This 621-nucleotide ribosomal RNA is filed under the name Triticum aestivum (bread wheat). Its description in RNAcentral is "partial small subunit ribosomal RNA". The record is from RNAcentral. Lineage: Eukaryota; Viridiplantae; Streptophyta; Magnoliopsida; Poales; Poaceae.
AUGUUCAGCAAAAUUAAAAAAAAAACGCCGCCGUCAACGGCGACGUCGAUUCAUGCCGGCGAGUUACAGUGGCCCACAGCUCGCGAGUCACCACUCGUUGCGCUCUCCUCUGCCAAGCUAGCCUGUCCGCUGCUUGUGUGGUUGCUUGGCCGGUCCGUUGUUGGCUUGCCGGAGCGUGCGGGUGCUGCUGCUCAGCAAGAAGAUGCGUCUAUGCGAGAUGAGCCUGGCUGCCGCUCUUGGUGGCGCCGUCGACGACGCAUGUGGCUUGUGGCCUCCGUGGUUGUUGGUGCCGCCGCUUGCCGGCGUGUGGUUGGUGAGUUGCUGCCUUCCCGCCGCGUGCAUGUGCUGCCGCUGCCGCUUGCAGCUGCCUCGCAUCUGCUGCUUCGCUGCUACGUGCAUGAGGGAGCUUGGUGGCCGCCCGCCGGCGUACGUGCUGCUACUUUGCUGCUUGAGAGAUGGCAUGCGGGUGAGCCGGAGAACGAACGGUGCGCACCUGAAGCUGGAGGUGCUCAAGCACUACGCCGGCAGGCUGCUGCAGCUGCUCGAGUCCUCCGCCGGCGUGCAUUGAAUUCUCCAUGGUUGUGUGCAUGUGUAUGGGAGUGUGGAUGUGUGAGACGGUGA